Molecule: long non-coding RNA, 387 nt
Filed under: Setaria italica (foxtail millet)
Lineage: Eukaryota; Viridiplantae; Streptophyta; Magnoliopsida; Poales; Poaceae
Description: long non-coding RNA (SITA_LNC002898)
Source: RNAcentral
CCCUGCCAGUUUUCUCAAUAGCCUUUGGGGGCCUUUGAGAAUAAGAUCUUCUUAUGCUAGCAUUUGAAUCAUCAACAGGUGAUAACCUAUUUCUGGAACUGACAGCAGAAUCAAAUGAUUUUAUUCUAAUUGGCGCUAUAACCUUCUGGUAUGCAGGAUCAUCCUUCAGAGCAGCAGGUAUGACUGGAACUGUCUCCAUGCUACAUUGUGAUGGAUCAAUAACAAACUGACCAGAGCCAGUCCAUGCUAAGUCAAUUCUGUCAGAAAUAUUGGAGGCAGAAGAUUGAGACUUCUGCAACAUCGUUUCAGCUUUAAGUUCAUCAGCCAGCACUACUUCACUCUGUAUUUUACAUGGGCCCAGGGCAGAGCUGAUACCAGCUGAGCCAG